RNAcentral lists this ribosomal RNA (653 nucleotides) under uncultured prokaryote. RNAcentral describes it as "bacterial SSU rRNA". It matches the Rfam family "Bacterial small subunit ribosomal RNA", at positions 28 to 670 of the family's 1533-position model. The record is from RNAcentral.
AUUGAACGCUGGCGGCAGGCCUAACACAUGCAAGUCGAGCGGUAACACAGAGGAGCUUGCUCCUUGGGUGACGAGCGGCGGACGGGUGAGUAAUGCCUGGGGAUCUGCCCGAUAGAGGGGGAUAACUACGGGAAACUGUAGCUAAUACCGCAUAAUGUCUACGGACCAAAGUGGGGGCUCUUCGGACCUCAUGCUAUCGGAUGAACCCAGGUGGGAUUAGCUAGUUGGUGAGGUAAUGGCUCACCAAGGCGACGAUCUCUAACUGGUUUGAGAGAAUGACCAGUCACACUGGAACUGAGACACGGUCCAGACUCCUACGGGAGGCAGCAGUGGGGAAUAUUGCACAAUGGGCGCAAGCCUGAUGCAGCCAUGCCGCGUGUGUGAAGAAGGCCUUCGGGUUGUAAAGCACUUUCAGCGGGGAGGAAGGGUCACUAGUUAAUACCUAGUGGCAUUGACGUUACUCGCAGAAGAAGCACCGGCUAACUCCGUGCCAGCAGCCGCGGUAAUACGGAGGGUGCAAGCGUUAAUCGGAAUUACUGGGCGUAAAGCGCACGCAGGCGGUUUGUUAAGUCAGAUGUGAAAUCCCCGAGCUCAACUUGGGAACUGCAUUUGAAACUGGCAAGCUAGAGUCUUGNAGAGGGGGGUAGAAUUCC